UGUCAAGGCAGGUGCAUCAGGCGGUUAUUAUGGACCCGCAUUUCAAAACAAUUCGAUCGCACUGGACCGACCGGGUGACCUCUUCUUCUACUACUCCCACAGCUGCAACUCCUUUAAAAGCUUGACACAGAAGCCAUGCAUGUCAUCACAGUCAGCUGAGGAGGUACUCAAACACUAACAACGAGAAGAAAGUCUUCACUGAUGGGGAAAAGAUCAUCUCGCCAGGCCACUGUGAUUGAUCCAUUGUAGCCUUACAAAGUCUGCCGGUAAAAAUGAGAUUCUGAAUGAGGGUCGCCAGAGGCCAAUCCCCUCCAUCAUUACCCUCCCUUAUGCUUGAAUCUUUGCAGUGUUAAAUUGUGAGACAAUAGCUGUCUACAAUUGCGAGUGGAACCACGGUCAGGACCAGGUUGUACCCACAUUACUGUUUUCUUCAAUGUCGACCGUCAAAGAAAUAUUGUGGAGCUCAUCCCUUUUUGCUGCUGAAAGCCAUGUUAGAGUAUUCUUACAUGAAUACGGUUUACAUGCGUUGUUUUUUAGCCUCAGUUACAAAACACAGGCUGUUCCUCUCUCGCUGUCUAUUAAAACACAGUUGCAUUGUGCAUAUUUGGUAGCCAACACAGGCCACUACAGCGAGGGUUCUCAACGAGCUUCAACCUACUGACUGUAGUAGCCACGUUUUUCGAUAGUCAUAAUUAUUUCUUUAAUAAUUCAUACAAAUUCAAGGUAACAUAUUUUAAAAUCAUGAAUACCGUAAUUUUCGGUCCAUAAGCCGCUACAUAUUACCCACGCUGUAAACCCUGCGCUUUAAACAGUACAAUACUGCAGCUAACUUAAGGGUUUUUCCGGGUUCAUAAGCUCAAUAACUUCUCUACGGCCUUAGCCUUAAACCACUUCUGUUUGUUUGAGAUUGUAAUGACAGCCACAAAUUGUGAAAAAAAUGGAUUACAACUGAGUACCCCCACGGCUCUUACAGACCACAGCUGAGAAGCGGAUACUUUUUGGCGUACCUCUAGGGGACCUUUACAGCCCAAUAAAAGGGUCUGGCCCUGAAGUCAAAUAACACAGUUUUGUUUUUUAUUUUUUUGAGGGGGGGUUUGUUUUUUAACAUGUCCUGUCCAGCCACUGAGGCAAAUCAUAUUGUUGACAUAGACGCUCAUAUCUGCUUUAUAGAUUUACUUUACAAAAGAGAAGUGUGGAAUAUUUCACUUGUUGCCUUAUUUAUAAGCAUAUUAUAAGCAUCUGCUUCAUCCAACCCUUUUUAAGCCUUGCAUAAAUGUCUCUGCCAAAAUG
Molecule: long non-coding RNA, 1290 nt
Organism: Entelurus aequoreus (snake pipefish)
Lineage: Eukaryota; Metazoa; Chordata; Actinopteri; Syngnathiformes; Syngnathidae
Exons: 3
Source: RefSeq, a predicted model, not a curated record